RNAcentral lists this ribosomal RNA (253 nucleotides) under uncultured bacterium. RNAcentral's name for it is "partial 16S ribosomal RNA". It matches the Rfam family "Bacterial small subunit ribosomal RNA", at positions 524 to 776 of the family's 1533-position model. The record is from RNAcentral.
UACGUAGGGGGCAAGCGUUAUCCGGAUUUACUGGGUGUAAAGGGAGCGUAGACGGCAGUGCAAGUCUGAAGUGAAAGCCCCGGGCUUAACCCGGGAACUGCUUUGGAAACUGUACGGCUGGAGUGCUGGAGAGGUAAGCGGAAUUCCUAGUGUAGCGGUGAAAUGCGUAGAUAUUAGGAGGAACACCAGUGGCGAAGGCGGCUUACUGGACAGUAACUGACGUUGAGGCUCGAAAGCGUGGGGAGCAAACAGG